GAGAGAGAGACAGGGAGAGAGAGAGAGAGGAGCAUUAGAGCGGCCAAUCAGAGCACAGCUCACUCCACCUGCAGCUGAGCCCUCAGGUUAAUCUGCUGGAGUGAAGUUGGACCGAACCGCCACAGAUCCCUGAGUCCAGCAGAACUAGCGGAGCAGCGGGGGUUCCUCCGUACCGCGGCCGCCCCACAGCGCUCCCUGUCCGGGCUGCUCAUGCGGCAGGCCCCGCUCCCAUGGAGAACCUGAUGCCGAGUAUAAGCUAAAGCCCAAACAUUCUGCUAGCGAUCGGAUACAGAGUCGGAGCCGGGGAGACAGCCGCCCUGAUGCCACCCAGCUGUCUAACAUCCGUUAGCUGUCCGUCGGUCUGUCCGCCGGUCGGUCGCUUCCGCAAACCCAACCCAGCUCGGUUCGCCUCGGCACCGGUCUGUCCACCUCCCUGACCGCUCCUGUCUGUCUAAACCAGCCCUCCUACUACCGGAGGUUAACCUCCAUCCAAUAAAUGAGAAUGAAAUCAGAAGAAAAGGGAGAAAAAAGAGGAAAUCAGCAGCGACAG
Gambusia affinis (western mosquitofish) is the source of this 550-nucleotide long non-coding RNA. RefSeq lists it as uncharacterized. NCBI's taxonomy places the organism in Eukaryota, Metazoa, Chordata, Actinopteri, Cyprinodontiformes, Poeciliidae. The record is from RefSeq and is a predicted model, not a curated record. The transcript has 3 exons.